UACAGAGGGUGCGAGCGUUAAUCGGAAUUACUGGGCGUAAAGCGUGCGUAGACGGUUAUUUAAGUCGGAUGUGAAAGCCCCGGGCUCAACCUGGGAAUUGCAUUCGAGACUGAAUAGCUAGGGUGCGGUAGAGGGAAGCGGAAUUUCCGGUGUAGCGGUGAAAUGCGCAGAUAUCAGGAGGAACACCGGUGGCGAAGGCGGAUCUCUGGGCCAUUACUGACGCUGAGGAGCGAAAGCGUGGGGAGCGAACAGG
RNAcentral lists this ribosomal RNA (253 nucleotides) under uncultured bacterium. RNAcentral's name for it is "partial 16S ribosomal RNA". It matches the Rfam family "Bacterial small subunit ribosomal RNA", at positions 524 to 776 of the family's 1533-position model. The record is from RNAcentral.